Molecule: long non-coding RNA, 386 nt
Filed under: Chinchilla lanigera (long-tailed chinchilla)
Lineage: Eukaryota; Metazoa; Chordata; Mammalia; Rodentia; Chinchillidae
Description: lncRNA (ENSCLAG00000023112.1)
Source: RNAcentral
GAACUGGUGAAAAACAUACGGUUCCAACUAAUGAAUCACAUACUUUCCCGCAAGUACAGUAAGUACUACCAGCUGUGUGACAGUCUUGCUUUGGCAGCGGAACCCGCAUUGAACAAGCCGGCCCAUCUGAAAGCAGCUGCAUUGAAAAACCACAAGCAAUGGAGCAGCCAGAGUCCCACGGGCCGGUCCGUGAAUCCGGUAAGGACACACUGCAAUGUUUUUACUGGCUUCCCGUCAGAUGGCACUUGGCUGCAGUACUCACUGGACUUUUAAUCAUCCCUUCUAAAGACACUCAUGAAAGAGGACUUCCAGAACUGAGGUGGAGUACUCUGAGGACUGUGCUUUUGUGCUAAUUUGUUGUUUAAAUACACUAUAUUUUUGACAAG